RNAcentral lists this ribosomal RNA (253 nucleotides) under uncultured bacterium. Its description in RNAcentral is "partial 16S ribosomal RNA". It matches the Rfam family "Bacterial small subunit ribosomal RNA", at positions 524 to 776 of the family's 1533-position model. The record is from RNAcentral.
GACAGAGGAUGCAAGCGUUAUCCGGAAUGAUUGGGCGUAAAGCGUCUGUAGGUGGCUUUUUAAGUUCGCCGUCAAAUCCCAGGGCUCAACCCUGGACAGGUGGUGGAAACUACCAAGCUAGAGUACGGUAGGGGCAGAGGGAAUUUCCGGUGGAGCGAUGAAAUGCGUAGAGAUCGGAAGGAACACCAAAGGCGAAAGCACUCUGCUGGGCCGACACUGACACUGAGAGACGAAAGCUAGGGGAGCAAAUGGG